CGCACAUUGCGCCCGCCAGCAUUCUGGCGGGCAUGCCUGUUCGAGCGUCAUUUCAACCCCUCAGGCCCUGGUGCCUGGCGUCGGGGCCCUCCCGCAAGGGAGGCCCCUAGAGACAGUGGCGGGCCCGCCGCGGCUCCGAGCGCAGUAGUAAAAUUCUCGCUCAGGGGUCCCGCGGAGGGCUAUCCGGCCGUAAAAGCAGGUCUGCGAAGACCGACCCAACCAAGGUUGACCUCGGAUCAGGUAGGAAUACCCGCUGAACUUAA
Molecule: unclassified non-coding RNA, 263 nt
Filed under: Sordariomycetes sp.
Lineage: Eukaryota; Fungi; Ascomycota; Sordariomycetes
Description: partial contains 5.8S ribosomal RNA, internal transcribed spacer 2, and large subunit ribosomal RNA
Source: RNAcentral